RNAcentral lists this ribosomal RNA (241 nucleotides) under Escherichia coli 2866450. RNAcentral describes it as "partial 16S ribosomal RNA". The record is from RNAcentral. Lineage: Bacteria; Pseudomonadati; Pseudomonadota; Gammaproteobacteria; Enterobacterales; Enterobacteriaceae.
CAGAGGCUUUUUCCUCUGCUGUAAAUGUUCGUCUCAUUCAAAAAACCUCCGCAACCCCAUGUUUUCACAUAACUGUUGCGUUGACCAAUUGAAUCUACAGUAGCCUUUUUUAAUAUCGUAUUUUGUUCCUCCAGACGGCGAACUUGCUUUUCCAGCUCGCGGAUACGUUGCUGGUCUGGAGUAAUGGGUGUGGCAGAGGGCGUAAUACCCUGGCGCUCUCGCCUGAGCUGGCGUACCCAGC